RNAcentral lists this ribosomal RNA (649 nucleotides) under Medinilla speciosa. RNAcentral describes it as "eukaryotic LSU rRNA". Lineage: Eukaryota; Viridiplantae; Streptophyta; Magnoliopsida; Myrtales; Melastomataceae. The record is from RNAcentral.
CAUUGCCGAAACCGGACGGAAGAACGACCCGCGAACAGUCAYUGCGUACGAGAGGGGGCCGUGGGGGCACGGCGCUCGCGUGCCCCGCGUCGCGUCGGCGCGGGCGCACCGGCGUCUCGCGUCGUGCCGACGGAAAACUUUGUCAGCACGGAUCGUGCCAAGGAGCUGCACGGAGGGAAUCGUCGCCCCGCGCCUUCGGCCCCCCUCGGCGGGGGACGGGAGGCGGGGGACGCGCGCGAUCUCCGCUCGAGUCUGAACGACUCUCGGCAACGGAUAUCUCGGCUCUUGCAUCGAUGAAGAACGUAGCGAAAUGCGAUACUUGGUGUGAAUUGCAGAAUCCCGCGAACCAUCAAUUCUUUGAACGCAAGUUGCGCCCGAAGCCAAUCGGCCGAGGGCACGCCUGCCUGGGUGUCGUGAACCCCCCUGCCCCCGGGCACCCGCGUCGGUGCACGCGCAUCGACGGGGGAUCGCUCGGGGCGCAGAACGUGGUCUCCCGUGGGAUCGGCACGCGCGGCGUGUCGAGGCGCGGCUGGCCGAAAAUCGAGCGAGGAGGCGACGGGCACCACGGCGUUCGGUGGAUCGACCCGGAUUGGCUGCGUCGUGGUCCCGGCACGCGUCUAGCUCCGGGCUGUGGCGAUCCCGAGUGCGA